AGGACGAACGCUGGCGGCGUGCUUAACACAUGCAAGUCGAGCGGUAAGGCCUUUCGGGGUACACGAGCGGCGAACGGGUGAGUAACACGUGGGUGAUCUGCCCUGCACUCUGGGAUAAGCCUGGGAAACUGGGUCUAAUACCGGAUAUGACCUGCUCUCGCAUGGGGGUGGGUGGAAAGAUUUAUCGGUGCAGGAUGGGCCCGCGGCCUAUCAGCUUGUUGGUGGGGUAAUGGCCUACCAAGGCGACGACGGGUAGCCGACCUGAGAGGGUGACGGCCACGACUGGGACUGAGACACGGCCCAGACUCCUACGGGAGGCAGCAGUGGGGAAUAUUGCACAAUGGGCGCAAGCCUGAUGCAGCAACGCCGCGUGGGGACGAAGGCCUCGGGUUGUAACCUCUUUAGUAGGUAGAAGCGAAAGUGACGGUACCUGCAGAAAAGCACCGCUAACUACGUGCCAGCAGCCCGC
This 469-nucleotide ribosomal RNA is filed under the name uncultured soil bacterium. Its description in RNAcentral is "bacterial SSU rRNA". It matches the Rfam family "Bacterial small subunit ribosomal RNA", at positions 26 to 518 of the family's 1533-position model. The record is from RNAcentral.